CCUCUCCUAAGGCUCUGAGAAUAGAGAAUGUGUGGGAGGUCACUGACUCCAUAGGACACAAACAAAACAACCACAAGGGUAGCCAAGUGUUACCUACUGUAAGGAAGCCUCGAUAAGAAGGUCUGCUGGGUGCGGUGGCUCACACCUGUAAUCCCAGCACUUUGGGAGGCCAAGGUGGGCGGAUCACCUUGAGGUCAGGAGUUCAAGACCAGACUGGCCAACAUGGUGAAACCCUGUCUCUACUAAAGACACAAAAAGUUAGCCUGCUGUGGUGGUGGGCACCUGUAGUCUCAGGAGGCUGAGGCAGGAGAAUCGCCUGAACCCAGGAGGCGGAGGUUGCAGUGAGCUGAGAU
Molecule: long non-coding RNA, 353 nt
Filed under: Homo sapiens (human)
Lineage: Eukaryota; Metazoa; Chordata; Mammalia; Primates; Hominidae
Description: HSALNT0406723
Source: RNAcentral